Molecule: ribosomal RNA, 243 nt
Filed under: uncultured bacterium
Lineage: Bacteria
Description: partial 16S ribosomal RNA
Rfam family: Bacterial small subunit ribosomal RNA
Source: RNAcentral
CCAAUCGUUGUCCGGAAUCAUUGGGCGUAAAGAGCGUGUAGGCGGCUUGUUAAUUCUUGCGUGAAAUCUCGGGGCUCAACCCCGAGCGGUCGUGAGAAACUGGCAGGCUAGAGUGCGGGAGAGGAGAGUGGAAUUCCUGGUGUAGCGGUGAAAUGCGCAGAUAUCAGGAAGAACACCCGUGGCGAAGGCGGCUCUCUGGAACGCAACUGACGCUGAGACGCGAAAGCGUGGGGAGCAAACAGG